UUGGUAUAGAACUUUUCGUGCCA
This 23-nucleotide non-coding RNA is filed under the name Arabidopsis thaliana (thale cress). The record is from RNAcentral. Lineage: Eukaryota; Viridiplantae; Streptophyta; Magnoliopsida; Brassicales; Brassicaceae.